UCUGACACCUGGCCAGGUGGAAAUUCCCGGAGUGAGGGCUCUAAGGCUGAGCCAAACACCUGACUCUUGCAUCGUCUCAUUUGCUCUGAUGUAAGGCAUAUAUAGGUAGCUGAGCAUUGAACAUGGUCUUCCCAAUCUGAUCAGCAAGCACAUCUUGCCAGCUGAUAGCACUUAGCCCUCUUCCUUCCUGACCCCCAACUGUCUACGUAGUCUGUGUAGAGCCCAAGUCCUCCCUAAGGACUGAGGAAUUGCAGCUCUCUCUCUGACAACCACUACUUGUGAGAGAAAUAACAUUGUUCGUUCAGACUUGACAAGAGAGAGAUGGGAAUACAUUGUAUGUCGGUGGAAGAAGACAUAUGGUUGUGAAGGGCCAUCACGUGGGAUCUAGCAAGUAAGCAGACAUGAAGCAGAGGUGGACACAAAAGCCGAUGUCUGGAGUAGGCCAGAGGUCCAUUCACCUGCUGCAGCUUGUAUUCCUGGCUCUGGGAGCGGCUGUUUCUGAAGACUAUCAUGCACAGUCAAGGCUGGGGAAAUUUCUCCGUGUCAGCCUGGUGAGGGACAGCCCUGCAGCCUGAGGAGACCAGCUUUCAGGAGGAAAAAUGCACUGUAAGACAUCUAAGACAACAGUUACCUACCCAGAAAAACAGCUGAUGCUGUCACACCUGUGUAACAUGCCAGCCAAAACAAGGAGGGGCAAGUGCCCUGUGUCCGGUGACACCAGGCGCGGAUGUCCCUUUGGACCUGUGGGCAAGAGGUGCGCUGACCAAAAGGACGCCUGUGUGGCCAUGAGCUUGUUCUGCUGCAGCUAAUUUAUAAGUGCUGGCAACCCAUACUCUUAGAAGAAGGGCUUUGUGGGCUCUCAGAUGACUGUAAUAUUCUUUGUGGCUGAAAAUCACAUUUAUAGGAGUUAAUUUUCUUAAAUGAGUGCCCAGUAUGAGUUCAUUUGUGUCUCAUAGCAGAAGGAGAUUCAAGUACAACACAGUAAGAGGAUUAAUCACUGCUGCUGCCCUCUUGGUUUUUCACUAAGUGAAGCACAACCAGGGAACCGGACGUGUAGGAGCUGUCACUUAUGCACAAUUUUUGCUGAAGUAUAAUAAAAGUGGUAUGACAGCUUACAGUAUGUAUCACAGGGAUAGCACUAUUUUGUUAAAGACAAGAAAUUCUUGAUUUCGUUUAUCACAGUAUUUCAGGUGUGUCUCAGUCUUCCUCCGUCCUUGUCAUCCUCUCGAUUUGCUGACUCCAUUUAGUUUCAUCACCAAAUUUGAAGAGACUUGUACUUUCAUGUCACUCUCGGGUACUUCUGAAGACUGUAAGAGCUUUCUUUCUGAGUUUUCAGUUCAUUGAGCUGCAGAUAGAUGUUCUUUCUCAUCUAAAACUCAUCACUUCCUUACCAUUGGAGAAAAAAACACAUUUAGGAAAUUAGUUUGUGGCUUCCUUCAAUUUGUUCCACAUACAGCUGCUCAUCAACAGUACACCAGCAAGGAACUGGCACACAGCUACAAGUGUGUAUUCAAAUUAAAAAUGUAUUCUGCACUUAUGCUUGCGUUGUGCGAUGAUUAUGGAAGAAAAUAUUUUUAUCAAACAGCCAGUAGCAUGUGAGCACCAGGAAAGCUGUUGCCACCUUUGAAUUUCUUUGUGGGAGAGCACCCAUGGAGAGGAGCAGGGGCAGCCAG
Molecule: long non-coding RNA, 1673 nt
Organism: Cygnus olor (mute swan)
Lineage: Eukaryota; Metazoa; Chordata; Aves; Anseriformes; Anatidae
Exons: 5
Source: RefSeq, a predicted model, not a curated record